UAGUGGGGGAUAACGUCCGGAAACGGGCGCUAAUACCGCAUACGUCCUGAGGGAGAAAGUGGGGGAUCUUCGGACCUCACGCUAUCAGAUGAGCCUAGGUCGGAUUAGCUAGUUGGUGGGGUAAAGGCCUACCAAGGCGACGAUCUGUAACUGGUCUGAGAGGAUGAUCAGUCACACCGGAACUGAGACACGGUCCAGACUCCUACGGGAGGCAGCAGUGGGGAAUAUUGGAUAAUGGGCGAAAGCCUGAUCCAGCCAUGCCGCGUGUGUGAAGAAGGUCUUCGGAUUGUAAAGCACUUUAAGUUGGGAGGAAGGGCAGUAAGUUAAUACCUUGCUGUUUUGACGUUACCAACAGAAUAAGCACCGGCUAACUUCGUGCCAGCAGCCGCGGUAAUACGAAGGGUGCAAGCGUUAAUCGGAAUUACUGGGCGUAAAGCGCGCGUAGGUGGUUCAGCAAGUUGGAUGUGAAAUCCCCGGGCUCAACCUGGGAACUGCAUCCAAAACUACUGAGCUAGAGUACGGUAGAGGGUGGUGGAAUUUCCUGUGUAGCGGUGAAAUGCGUAGAUAUAGGAAGGAACACCAGUGGCGAAGGCGACCACCUGGACUGAUACUGACACUGAGGUGCGAAAGCGUGGGGAGCAAACAGGAUUAGAUANCCUGGUAGUCCACGCCGUAAACGACGUCGACUAGCCGUUGGGA
Molecule: ribosomal RNA, 699 nt
Filed under: uncultured Pseudomonadaceae bacterium
Lineage: Bacteria; Pseudomonadati; Pseudomonadota; Gammaproteobacteria; Pseudomonadales; Pseudomonadaceae
Description: SSU rRNA
Rfam family: Bacterial small subunit ribosomal RNA
Source: RNAcentral